Molecule: ribosomal RNA, 497 nt
Filed under: uncultured bacterium
Lineage: Bacteria
Description: partial 16S ribosomal RNA
Rfam family: Bacterial small subunit ribosomal RNA
Source: RNAcentral
GAUGAACGCUGGCGGCGUACCUAAUACAUGCAAGUCGAGCGAACAGACGAGGAGCUUGCUCCUCUGACGUUAGCGGCGGACGGGUGAGUAACACGUGGAUAACCUACCUAUAAGACUGGGAUAACUUCGGGAAACCGGAGCUAAUACCGGAUAAUAUAUUGAACCGCAUGGUUCAAUAGUGAAAGACGGUUUUGCUGUCACUUAUAGAUGGAUCCGCGCCGCAUUAGCUAGUUGGUAAGGUAACGGCUUACCAAGGCGACGAUGCGUAGCCGACCUGAGAGGGUGAUCGGCCACACUGGAACUGACACACGGUCCAGACUCCUACGGGAGGCAGCAGUAGGGAAUCUUCCGCAAUGGGCGAAAGCCUGACGGAGCAACGCCGCGUGAGUGAUGAAGGUCUUCGGAUCGUAAAACUCUGUUAUUAGGGAAGAACAAAUGUGUAAGUAACUAUGCACGUCUUGACGGUACCUAAUCAGAAAGCCACGGCUAACUACGUG